Molecule: ribosomal RNA, 1341 nt
Filed under: uncultured Microbacteriaceae bacterium
Lineage: Bacteria; Bacillati; Actinomycetota; Actinomycetes; Micrococcales; Microbacteriaceae
Description: bacterial SSU rRNA
Rfam family: Bacterial small subunit ribosomal RNA
Source: RNAcentral
GAUGAACGCUGGCGGCGUGCUUAACACAUGCAAGUCGAACGGUGAAGCCAAGCUUGCUUGGUGGAUCAGUGGCGAACGGGUGAGUAACACGUGAGCAACCUGCCCUGGACUCUGGGAUAAGCGCUGGAAACGGCGUCUAAUACUGGAUAUGAGCUCUCAUCGCAUGGUGGGGGUUGGAAAGAUUUUUCGGUCUGGGAUGGGCUCGCGGCCUAUCAGCUUGUUGGUGAGGUAAUGGCUCACCAAGGCGUCGACGGGUAGCCGGCCUGAGAGGGUGACCGGCCACACUGGGACUGAGACACGGCCCAGACUCCUACGGGAGGCAGCAGUGGGGAAUAUUGCACAAUGGGCGGAAGCCUGAUGCAGCAACGCCGCGUGAGGGAUGACGGCCUUCGGGUUGUAAACCUCUUUUAGCAGGGAAGAAGCGAGAGUGACGGUACCUGCAGAAAAAGCGCCGGCUAACUACGUGCCAGCAGCCGCGGUAAUACGUAGGGCGCAAGCGUUAUCCGGAAUUAUUGGGCGUAAAGAGCUCGUAGGCGGUUUGUCGCGUCUGCUGUGAAAUUCCGAGGCUCAACCUCGGGCCUGCAGUGGGUACGGGCAGACUAGAGUGCGGUAGGGGAGAUUGGAAUUCCUGGUGUAGCGGUGGAAUGCGCAGAUAUCAGGAGGAACACCGAUGGCGAAGGCAGAUCUCUGGGCCGUAACUGACGCUGAGGAGCGAAAGGGUGGGGAGCAAACAGGCUUAGAUACCCUGGUAGUCCACCCCGUAAACGUUGGGAACUAGUUGUGGGGACCAUUCCACGGUUUCCGUGACGCAGCUAACGCAUUAAGUUCCCCGCCUGGGGAGUACGGCCGCAAGGCUAAAACUCAAAGGAAUUGACGGGGACCCGCACAAGCGGCGGAGCAUGCGGAUUAAUUCGAUGCAACGCGAAGAACCUUACCAAGGCUUGACAUACACCAGAACACCGUAGAAAUACGGGACUCUUUGGACACUGGUGAACAGGUGGUGCAUGGUUGUCGUCAGCUCGUGUCGUGAGAUGUUGGGUUAAGUCCCGCAACGAGCGCAACCCUCGUUCUAUGUUGCCAGCACGUAAUGGUGGGAACUCAUGGGAUACUGCCGGGGUCAACUCGGAGGAAGGUGGGGAUGACGUCAAAUCAUCAUGCCCCUUAUGUCUUGGGCUUCACGCAUGCUACAAUGGCCGGUACAAAGGGCUGCAAUACCGUGAGGUGGAGCGAAUCCCAAAAAGCCGGUCCCAGUUCGGAUUGAGGUCUGCAACUCGACCUCAUGAAGUCGGAGUCGCUAGUAAUCGCAGAUCAACAACGCUGCGGUGAAUACGUUCCCGGGUC